UUGUUUUUCACUCUUUCUCUUUCUUUCCGAGAACUCUCCGAACCCAGAGACCGUUCUCUUUUAUUUCCCAGAAAUCUCAUAAAUCAAAACCUUCCCUUGUAAUCAACAACUCCACUCAUAAUCAAAACCCAAAGAUCUCUUUAGUUGAAAAUCUAAGGAAACCAAAUCAAGCCCUAGAAAUAUCAUCUAAAACCUAGAAAUUUAAUUUUGUUCCUGAAAUCGAAAAGCAAUUCAUCUAUAGUUGAUUGCUUUGUUGAUGUUCAAGAGGUAUCUUUGGCUUCUAUAGGCGAACUUCAGAGGUUCAGGUUUGAGUGCAAUUUUCGACUAUUGUGGGCAGUCCUGUGUUUGUAGUCUUUGAAGGAUUGAUUUUAAUUUUCUUCCACCAUUGGUAGAGUGGGUACUUCUCUGACCCAGUGGGAGUAGACCGAGGCCGAGUCAGUGAACCCCCAAGGUGUAAUAAGGAAGAGUGUCAUGCCUUGAACUCCAUGGCUUUGGUUCAUAACCGUUGCGGGUUUGCUGACAAGCAGAUAGUGAGACUGCAAGAGAUACCAGAUGAUAUUCCAGAAGGGGGUACUCCCCACACGGUUAUCUUAUUAAUGCAUGACAAACUUAUUGAUGCUGGAAAGCCCGGUGAUAGAGUUGAGGUCACUGGUAUAUAUAGGGCAAUGAGUGUUAGAGUUGGACCAACACAAAGAUCGGUGAAAUCUUUGUUCAAGGCAUGUGCUUUAAGUCUUUAAGAUUCGAAAUGUCACUAAUCUUGAUGAGGACUGAACUGAUCGAUUAUAUGUCAUUUCAGACUUACGUAGAUUUUCUUCAUAUAAAGAAGACCGAUAAAUCUAGAAUGCAGGCUGAGGAUUAAAUAGAACAUCUUAAUGCCUCUGACAACAUGAACGAAGAUGUACCCGCUUACUUUCAAGACAAGAUUGAACAGUUAAAAGAGCUUGCAAAAUCCAUAAGGGAUUCUCAUUUACAAUAUGUAAACAACUGAAGGUGCAGAAAUCUGGAAUGGUAUAUUUAUGCAGGUGCAGAAAUCUGGCGGAACAAUAGCAGGAUUUUUUUUUCACCUGUAAAAAUUGUGCAACGGAUAUACACGUUGGAAAUUUAAUACGUUGCUUUCAAUUGCUUCCAUGAGCAACGGUACUAAAAACAACAUAACGUUGCAGAAUUUUGUAGUGGAACUAUUUAACCGUUUGUCCAAUCCAAAGAAACGUUGCUCAAAUUAAAGAUUUAUGUUGCUUAAA
Papaver somniferum (opium poppy) is the source of this 1241-nucleotide long non-coding RNA. RefSeq lists it as uncharacterized. NCBI's taxonomy places the organism in Eukaryota, Viridiplantae, Streptophyta, Magnoliopsida, Ranunculales, Papaveraceae. The transcript has 8 exons. The record is from RefSeq and is a predicted model, not a curated record.